GACUAAAUCAAGCUUGUGACUCUACGAACUUGUUGGAUGCGUUUUGCUGUUUGUUUUGUUUGUGUUUCGCAUUAUUUUGUGCCCAAUAGAAAUGAAGAGUAAAUAAUGUAUUGUGUCAUUUUGGAGUCACUUUUAUUGUAAAUGAGAACAGAAUACGUCUUGGGGGUAUAUUUGUGCGUCUGUAACUUUCUCAGUCGUCAUUAUUCAACAGUAAAAAAAAAAUGCUAAACAAAACAAACAGCAAAACGCAUCCAACAAGUUCGUAGAGUCACAAGCUUGAUUUAGUCAUUAGGUGCUGUGAAUAUGGGACAAAAAACUUCUACUACUUUAACACAUAUAUAAGUGUGAAUUUGUCCCAAUACUUUUGGUCCUCUAAAAUGGAGGGGUACUAUGUACAACAAAAUGCUAUAAUUUCUAAAUGGUUCGCCCGCUUUGGAUGAAGAUUACCUUCAAAUUAAAGCUGACAGUCAGCACUUUAACCCCAUAGUCAUUGUUUGAUUUCAAAUCCAAAGUGCUGGAGUACAGAGCCAAAACAACAAAUAUUUUUUUUAUUUAUUUAACCUUUAUUUAACUACGCAAGUCAGUUAAGAACAAAUUCUUAUUUACAUAUAAUGUGUCACUGUCCCAAUACUUUUGGUGCUCACUGUAUAUAAACACACAAAAACACACACAGAAGCACUGACGAAAUGAAGUGAGUAACACACGGACACACACAUAUUUGGUCUUGAUACAAAAAUUGGAAAUAACAUUGGUACAGCCCAUCACCACCUUCUAGUGGUAAACUACAUCUAAAACAGUAACUAUCAUAGAGAAUGAUAGAGGCCUCUGGUGGUAAACUACAUCUAAAACAGAACCCAAUUAGUUCACCACCAUAGAGAAUGAUAGAGGCCUCUGGUGGUAAACUACAUCUAAAACAGAACCCAAUUAGUUCACCACCAUAGAGAAUGAUAGAGGCCUCUGGUGGUAAACUACAUCUAAAACAGAACCCAAUUAGUUCACCACCAUAGAGAAUGAUAGAGGCCUCUAGUGGCCAAAAGGCCGUUUUAACAUAGACAGUGCCAUUGAGGGCUUACGCCAUUUUAAAGUAGUCAAAGUAGUCAACUGGGUGGGGAUUCCUAUGAGUUGUAGCCUCAAUGGUGCUGCCCAUGCUGUUACAGACGGUAUAAUGGCACAGAUAGUUUUAUGUGCAAUACAUACUGUAGGGAAUAGGGUGCCAUGUCGGACACAGCCCCAGUUUUUAUGUGGGUGACCCUACUAAACUCUCAUUAGUCACUAGGACUCUACUGUAACUCUCGUUGGUCACCGGCCUGUUUGACAGCCAUCGGAUAGAAAGGAGUUGGUAACCAGGGUAACGUACACUCGCGGCCACCAGGUGGUGCAGCUGGUCUAAAGUAUAAUCUCCUCUGGCCUUCUCUUUGUGUACAGUCUGAGUAGGACCAGGAGGUAUCCCUGUCUUUAAUGUCUGGGUAGGACCAGGAGGUUUUCCUGUCUAUAAUGUCUGGGUAGGACCAGGAGGUUUUCCUGUCUAUAAUGUCUGGGUAGGACCAGGAGGUUUUCCUGACUAUAAUGUCUGGGUAGGACCAGGAGGUUUUCCUGACUAUAAUGUCUGGGUAGGACCAGGAGGUUUUCUUAUCUGACCAGGGGAAACUCUAGGCCCUCCAGGUUACACUAGUAGUGACUAUCCUAUAGCUGAACCAGUCCCCCCCCCUUAUCUAACCUAUCCCCUAUCUCA
RNAcentral lists this long non-coding RNA (1732 nucleotides) under Salmo salar (Atlantic salmon). RNAcentral's name for it is "lncRNA (ENSSSAG00000095126.1)". The record is from RNAcentral. Lineage: Eukaryota; Metazoa; Chordata; Actinopteri; Salmoniformes; Salmonidae.